GCUUCACUAGCUCAGUUGGCAGAGCGUCAGUCUCAUAGUUCGCGUUCGCGCGCUGUGAAAUCUGAAGGUCGACAGUUCGAACCUGCCGUGGAGCA
Molecule: transfer RNA, 95 nt
Rfam family: tRNA
About the family: Transfer RNA (tRNA) molecules are approximately 80 nucleotides in length. Their secondary structure includes four short double-helical elements and three loops (D, anti-codon, and T loops). Further hydrogen bonds mediate the characteristic L-shaped molecular structure. tRNAs have two regions of fundamental functional importance: the anti-codon, which is responsible for specific mRNA codon recognition, and the 3' end, to which the tRNAs corresponding amino acid is attached (by aminoacyl-tRNA synthetases). tRNAs cope with the degeneracy of the genetic code in two manners: having more than one tRNA (with a specific anti-codon) for a particular amino acid; and 'wobble' base-pairing, i.e. permitting non-standard base-pairing at the 3rd anti-codon position.
Source: Rfam